AGUGAACGCUGGCGGUAGGCCUAACGCAUGCAAGUCGAACGGCAGCACAGUAAGAGCUUGCUCUUACGGGUGGCGAGUGGCGGACGGGUGAGGAAUACAUCGGAAUCUACUUUUUCGUGGGGGAUAACGUAGGGAAACUUACGCUAAUACCGCAUACGACCUACGGGUGAAAGCAGGGGAUCUUCGGACCUUGCGCGAUUGAAUGAGCCGAUGUCGGAUUAGCUAGUUGGCGGGGUAAAGGCCCACCAAGGCGACGAUCCGUAGCUGGUCUGAGAGGAUGAUCAGCCACACUGGAACUGAGACACGGUCCAGACUCCUACGGGAGGCAGCAGUGGGGAAUAUUGGACAAUGGGCGCAAGCCUGAUCCAGCCAUACCGCGUGGGUGAGGAAGGCCUUCGGGUUGUAAAGCCCUUUUGUUGGGAAAGAAAAGCAGCAGGUUAAUACCCCGCUGUUCUGACGGUACCCAAAGAAUAAGCACCGGCUAACUUCGUG
RNAcentral lists this ribosomal RNA (492 nucleotides) under uncultured bacterium. Its description in RNAcentral is "partial 16S ribosomal RNA". It matches the Rfam family "Bacterial small subunit ribosomal RNA", at positions 29 to 507 of the family's 1533-position model. The record is from RNAcentral.